RNAcentral lists this ribosomal RNA (443 nucleotides) under uncultured bacterium. RNAcentral's name for it is "partial 16S ribosomal RNA". It matches the Rfam family "Bacterial small subunit ribosomal RNA", at positions 338 to 795 of the family's 1533-position model. The record is from RNAcentral.
CCUACGGGUGGCAGCAGUGGGGAAUAUUGGACAAUGGGGGGAACCCUGAUCCAGCGACGCCGCGUGCGUGAAGAAGUAUUUCGGUAUGUAAAGCUCUAUCAGCAGGGAAGAAAGAAAUGACGGUACCUGACUAAGAAGCCUCGGCUAACUACGUGCCAGCAGCCGCGGUAAUACGUAGGGGGCAAGCGUUAUCCGGAUUUACUGGGUGUAAAGGGAGCGUAGACGGCUGUGCAAGUCUGAAGUGAAAGCCCAGGGCUCAACCCUGGGACUGCUUUUGAAACUGUGGGGCUAGAGUGCCGGAGAGGUAAGUGGAAUUCAUAGUGUAGCGGUGAAAUGCGUAGAUAUUAGAAGGAACACCAGUGGCGAAGGCGGCUUACUGGGCAGUAACUGACGUUGAGGCUCGAAAGCGUGGGGAGCAAACAGGAUUAGAUACCCUUGUAGUC